UUAACGGCGGGUAUACACCAUGGUCCUCCUGGUCUCGAUGCAGCAGGACCUGCGGCGGAGGAACACAACAACGUUCCCGCUAUUGCACUAAUCCAAGACCCAGACAAGGAGGAAUAGAUUGUAGAGAACUGGGAAAAGCUAAAGAAUAUAGAGAUUGCAGGAAACAGUCAUGUCCAGUUUGUAGAGACGUAUGGCCAUCGUUUUGUAGAACGAAUGCUUGGAUUUGCAGCAAAGAGAGCUGGAAAGCAUAUGUGAAUCAGAAUUGUCGCUACAGUUGUGGACUAUGCCAAGGACAAGGAGAAAACCGCGUAACACCAGUUGAACGUAGCAGCGACAUCGUUUGUAGAGACGUAUGGCCAUCGUUUUGUAGAACGAAUGCUUGGAUUUGCAGCAAAGAGAGCUGGAAAACAUAUGUGAAUCAGAAUUGUCGCUACAGUUGUGGACUCUGUCAAGGUUAGCUAGGAAUGACUGAAAGGAAUGAAUCGACAUUCCCUUUCCCCUCUGUGUCAUUGUGUAUGAAUAGAUAUUUUAAAGAGGUUAUUAACCGAACGCGAGGUCUGUACGGGAAAAUAUCAGACCGAGGUCUUGACAGUACGGAUCGAGCGCAGCGAGAUCGAGCAAGCCAGGUUAAUAACUCAUUUAUUAUAUGACUUUUACUUCGUAGAUUAUGUAGAAGAAUUACUCAAAGUACAACACUAUGUAAUAGCACUGCUUUUCUCACGAUAUCUAACGAUAUGAGUAAAAUGACACAGAAAUCAUCAUAUUUUCAGUAAUUGUCGGCUAAAACGACAGGGAUUUUGGCUCCUUGUUUGAUAGAUUCAGUUUAUUUUCAUACUCAAAUACAUUAUUAGCUUCCUCACAAAUUUCCACUGUCUGAUUCUUCUAUCGUCGCGGCCGCCGGUGUAGAUUUGUGGAUGUCCCUCAAAAUAGAAUUACAAUUUGCUUUCUUUUACCAGUAACCGAGGAUUCAUUGAAUCGAGGAAAGUAGACUUUAUAAGAGGAAGAUUUCAUUCUUGCCAAGACACGGGUUUGAAUCCCUUUUCACUUUUGUUUUGAGUAGUUUAUGGACUUAUGUUCUAGCUUCUUUUGAGCUUUUACAACUUCAUUGAGUUUUUCUUCCAAUAUGAUCCUUUUUGGGCUAUCUUUAAAUUGUGGUGAAUACUUAUCGAGCAUUUCUAAGCUGGAUUGAUGCCGUUGGSAAUUGAAAACAACUGUACGGUCAACUCGGGAAAGAGCGGGAAAGUCAAGUGCUAAGACGGAGCGCGGACAAAAAGGCAGGAGUAGUUGAAAUUGAACUACCUAUCUUUCAGAUCAUUAGAAUUGGAUUUUGUUUGAAUUUUUUUUAUUGCAAAGAAAGUCUCAAAUCUGAUAAACAAAGUUGUCUUGAUUCCCUCGGUCCAACUUACCGCACAACCAUCAAAUUAGCAAUUUCCGGUCCGGAUACGGAAAAAGACGGACCCGCGGUCUGGAUACGCGAUUUCACGGAACAGUUUUCAGCCAAUCAGAGCGCGCGUAAUAUCUAAAGUCAUA
Molecule: long non-coding RNA, 1530 nt
Organism: Exaiptasia diaphana
Lineage: Eukaryota; Metazoa; Cnidaria; Anthozoa; Actiniaria; Aiptasiidae
Exons: 4
Source: RefSeq, a predicted model, not a curated record